Molecule: ribosomal RNA, 482 nt
Filed under: uncultured bacterium
Lineage: Bacteria
Description: partial 16S ribosomal RNA
Rfam family: Bacterial small subunit ribosomal RNA
Source: RNAcentral
GACGAACGCUGGAGGCGUGCUUAACACAUGCAAGUCGAACGAUGAAAUGGAGCUUGCUCCAUGGAUUAGUGGCGAACGGGUGAGUAACACGUGAAUAACCUGCCCUUAAUUUUGGAAUAACCCAGGGAAACCUGGGCUAAUACCGGAUAAGUAAACCUGUGGCAUCACAUGGUUUUGGAAAGUUUUUCGAUUAAGGAUGGAUUCGCGGCCUAUCAGCUUGUUGGUGAGGUAAUGGCUCACCAAGGCGACGACGGGUAGCCGGCCUGAGAGGGUGAACGGACACACUGGGACUGAGACACGGCCCAGACUCCUACGGGAGGCAGCAGUGGGGAAUAUUGCGCAAUAGACGAAAGUCUGACGCAGCGACGCCUCGUGAGGGACGAAGGUCUUCGGAUUGUAAACCUCUUUCAGCAGGGACGAAGCGAAAGUGACGGUACCUGCAGAAGAAGCACCGGCUAACUAUGUGCCAGCCGCCGCAGUAA